UAUAUUUCAUGAUGAUCCAAACCAAUGCAUAGUUCAACCGAAUACCAUUGAGGAAACAACCUAACAUCUUUCGCUCCUAUCUGAUCUAAAUCUU
This 94-nucleotide small nucleolar RNA is filed under the name Dothideomycetidae sp. 11243. RNAcentral describes it as "fungal sp. No.11243 Small nucleolar RNA snR60/Z15/Z230/Z193/J17". It matches the Rfam family "Small nucleolar RNA snR60/Z15/Z230/Z193/J17". Rfam says of the family: The members of this family belong to the C/D class of snoRNAs which contain the C (UGAUGA) and D (CUGA) box motifs. Most of the members of the box C/D family function in directing site-specific 2'-O-methylation of substrate RNAs. Lineage: Eukaryota; Fungi; Ascomycota; Dothideomycetes. The record is from Rfam by way of RNAcentral.